Molecule: unclassified non-coding RNA, 327 nt
Filed under: plant metagenome
Description: partial contains 5.8S ribosomal RNA, internal transcribed spacer 2, and large subunit ribosomal RNA
Rfam family: 5.8S ribosomal RNA (bases 1-105)
Source: RNAcentral
GAAAUGCGAUAAGUAAUGUGAAUUGCAGAAUUCAGUGAAUCAUCGAAUCUUUGAACGCACAUUGCGCCCGUUAGCAUUCUAGCGGGCAUGCCUGUCCGAGCGUCAUUUCAACCCUCAGGGCCCCCCGUUCCGGCGGGCGGACCUGGCGUUGGGGACCGGCCCGCCCCGUGCGGCGCCGUCCCCCAAAUACAGUGGCGGUCCCGCCGCAGCCUCCCCUGCGUAGUAGUUUACAACCUCGCAUCGGAGCGCGGCGCGGCCACGCCGUAAAACCCCCGACUUUCUGAACGUUGACCUCGGAUCAGGUAGGAAUACCCGCUGAACUUAAGC